Molecule: non-coding RNA, 260 nt
Organism: Pelobates cultripes (western spadefoot toad)
Lineage: Eukaryota; Metazoa; Chordata; Amphibia; Anura; Pelobatidae
Source: the annotation of a GenBank genome assembly
CAAUUAGUGAAGAUUCCACUCUUAUAUCAGUUAAUGCUGUACAGCUGUUAUAUGGAAUAGGUGUGUCUCACUCUUAUCUCUACAGCCUGAAAUGCUAUAUGUCCUGGGGUUAUGUUUUAUGGACAAAAGGCAUCAGAAAUAAGAUAGAAUGACUUUACUAAAGGAAUAUACUGUCAGCUUCAAGCCAGGCACUAUCCGGUGAAAGUGUGGACUGCAACUCUCUUCACCGUCAGCCAGCUGAUUUGCAGCUCAGAAUCUUG